Molecule: non-coding RNA, 23 nt
Filed under: Arabidopsis thaliana (thale cress)
Lineage: Eukaryota; Viridiplantae; Streptophyta; Magnoliopsida; Brassicales; Brassicaceae
Source: RNAcentral
GAUAUACCGAUUGGUGUUGAUGG